Molecule: ribosomal RNA, 460 nt
Filed under: uncultured bacterium
Lineage: Bacteria
Description: partial 16S ribosomal RNA
Rfam family: Bacterial small subunit ribosomal RNA
Source: RNAcentral
CCUACGGGUGGCAGCAGUGAGGAAUAUUGGUCAAUGGGCGUAAGCCUGAACCAGCCAAGUCGCGUGAGGGAUGAAGGUUCUAUGGAUCGUAAACCUCUUUUAUAAGGGAAUAAAGUGUGGGACGUGUCCUGUUUUGUAUGUACCUUAUGAAUAAGGAGCGGCUACCUCCGGGCCAGCAGCCGCGGUAAUACGGAGGAUCCGAGCGUUAUCCGGAUUUAUUGGGUUUAAAGGGUGCGUAGGCGGCCUUUUAAGUCAGCGGUGAAAGUCUGUGGCUCCACCAUAGAAUUGCCGUUGAAACUGGGAGCCUUGAUUAUGUUUGAGGCAGGCGGACUGCGUGUUGUAGCGGUGACAUGCUUAGAUAUCACGCAGAACCCCGAUUGCGCAGGCAGCCUGCCAAGCCAUGCCUGACGCUGAUGCACGACAGCGUGGGGAUCAAACAGGAUUAGAUACCCGUGUCGUC